This 2139-nucleotide ribosomal RNA is filed under the name Triticum aestivum (bread wheat). Its description in RNAcentral is "partial small subunit ribosomal RNA". Lineage: Eukaryota; Viridiplantae; Streptophyta; Magnoliopsida; Poales; Poaceae. The record is from RNAcentral.
AUGGAUCUCGAAGCUAAUAGUAGACACAGCAUCCUGGAGCAGAUGCUGAUUGAUGAAAGCGCAGAGCCGACGGACCUGCCAUUGUCACUGCUAGAAGACAUCACAGAUCGUUUCUCUCCCAAUCACGAAAUUGGCAGAGGUGGAUUCGCGGUGGUUUACAAGGGAAUGGUCGGACAAGGGACUGUUGCUGUCAAGAGGCUCACCGAAACUCUCGAGAUUGUCCACGAGAAUAAAUUCCAUAAAGAGGUUGAAUGCUUGAUGAAGGCCAAGCAUGAGAAUAUAGUACGUUUUCUGGGAUAUUGUGCCGAGGCACGUGGAAAAGCUGCAAGCUACGAGGGAAACUUUGUCAUAGCAGAUACACGGAAUAGGUUGCUCUGUUUUGAGUAUUUACCCAAUGGGAGUCUCGAAAAGUACAUCACCAAUGCGUCUAUUGGACUUGAAUGGAAAGAGCGCUUUCGAAUAAUAAAAGGAAUAUGCAAAGGUUUACACUAUCUCCAUAUGAACCGUAUUCUUCAUUUGGACCUCAAGCCAGCGAACAUAUUGCUAGACGGUCACAUGAUUCCUAAAAUUGCUGAUUUUGGUCUCUCAAGGUGUCUUGGGGAAGAGAAAACCCAUGGUACUACUAAGCACCUAUCUGGAACACCGGGUUAUUUGGCUCCAGAGUUCUACAAUGGAAAGUUCACAUUCGCAUCAGACAUAUAUAGCCUUGGUGUCGUAAUCAUGGAGAUACUAACAGGAGCAAAGGGAUAUUCUGAAGACGAGAACGUGGCUGCAAGUUGGAUGAAUAGAUUGGAUGGGAACAUGCAGUUGGAAAAAUUAAAAGUAUGCACUAAGAUAGGGAUAGAGUGCAUGGAAUCAGACCCAAAGAGAAGACCAUUUGCAUGGUGUAUUGUAAAUAUGAUUGAUAAAACGGCAAGUGCUGAUGAAACUAACAUGACUAGUUCACUAGAUGAGCGGCAGGUAUGUUUAUUAAAUGAACAGUCUGAUCAAGAAAGAAUCGGAAAGCUCGCUGAUACCAUCAGCCAUGAGGAUAUCAAGGAGCGCCCUGAAAUUGAAGUUGCUGCAGGAUCUCUUGGAAGUGAUCAUUCCCAGGAAGGCCAAGAAAACACAGAUCAUUGGUCAUCAUGCGAUCUAAGUACAGAGCGAAAGGAUAACAUCCAAGGAACAAGCAUUUCCAACUCUAACUCCAUUGUUCUGGACAAGUUGAGCAUCUUAAAAAUCUUCAACUGGGGUGGACACAGAAAUUUCGUGAGGAAUGGAGGUCGACAACUAAAGAAUUCUAGGGGCCUUAGGAUUUUCACAAAGGGGGAAAUAAAGAAAAUCACAAUGAAUAAUUCAGUGGUGCAUGGUGAAGGAACAUUUAGUAGGACCUACAAAGGAAUUCUUCCUGACAUUACCAUGGUGGCAGUUAGCACCAUUAUGGCCGGACAUUAUUUUUUAGCGGAUGACUUCAUCAAGAGUGUGGAGAUCCAGACACAGUUGAUCCACAAGAACAUUCUCAAGCUCCUCGGUUACUGCCUGGAAAAAGAUGCUCCAAUAUUGGUACAUGAGUUUGCUGCUAAGGGGAGCCUCAAGGAUAUUCUAUGUGACUAUGAAAAUCAAAUCCUCCCGCUAGACUUGCGUUUGGACAUUGCAAUUGGGUCUGCAGAAGGGUUAAGAUACAUACACUCUACAGGCAUACGGCAUGGUAAUGUUAAACCGGAUACCAUACUUCUCGAUGAAAUGUUUACACCAAAAAUCUCGGACUUUGUGUUAUCGGAGUUAGUUAAUACGGAUGGAUAUAUCUUCACCACGGCAGGGGGAACCAUCCUUUAUAUGGACCCAAUGAUCAUGAAAGAUGGUAUUGUAAAACUAACGCAAAAGGACGAUGUCUACAGCUUCGGAGUAGUUCUCUUGGAACUCAUUACCAGGAUGGAAAUCGACACCCGCAAAUUUUGCGAGAUAGAAAGUGGUAGGAGAGCAAUGUUUGACAAUGACAUUGCAGUUGAAGAAGACAUCCCCGUCCUUGAAGAAAUCGGGAAGCUGGCGUUUGAGUGCCUCAAAGGAGAAGUACAACGGCCAGAUAUGACAGAGGUGACAAAACGAGUUAUGAUGCUUAGAAGAGAUAGAAUACUUAGAAAGGCACGCAAGACAAAUUAG